This 253-nucleotide ribosomal RNA is filed under the name uncultured bacterium. Its description in RNAcentral is "partial 16S ribosomal RNA". It matches the Rfam family "Bacterial small subunit ribosomal RNA", at positions 524 to 776 of the family's 1533-position model. The record is from RNAcentral.
UACGUAGGGGGCAAGCGUUGUCCGGAUUUAUUGGGCGUAAAGAGCGUGUAGGCGGCUUUGCAAGUCCGUUGUGAAAACCCGAGGCUCAACCUCGAGACGCCGGUGGAAACUGCAAAGCUAGAGUCCGGAAGAGGAGAGUGGAAUUCCUGGUGUAGCGGUGAAAUGCGCAGAUAUCAGGAAGAACACCCGUGGCGAAGGCGGCUCUCUGGGACGGUACUGACGCUGAGACGCGAAAGCGUGGGGAGCGAACAGG